RNAcentral lists this ribosomal RNA (253 nucleotides) under uncultured bacterium. Its description in RNAcentral is "partial 16S ribosomal RNA". It matches the Rfam family "Bacterial small subunit ribosomal RNA", at positions 524 to 776 of the family's 1533-position model. The record is from RNAcentral.
UACGGAGGGUGCAAGCGUUAUCCGGAUUCACUGGGUUUAAAGCGUGCGCAGGCGGUUUUGUAAGCCAGAUGUGAAAUCCCCGGGCUCAACCUGGGAAUGGCAUUUGGGACUGCACGGCUAGAGUACGGUAGAGGGGGACGGAAUUCCGCGUGUAGCAGUGAAAUGCGUAGAUAUGCGGAGGAACACCGAUGGCGAAGGCAGUCCCCUGGACCUGUACUGACGCUCAUGCACGAAAGCGUAGGGAGCAAACAGG